This 777-nucleotide ribosomal RNA is filed under the name Lactiplantibacillus plantarum. Its description in RNAcentral is "bacterial SSU rRNA". It matches the Rfam family "Bacterial small subunit ribosomal RNA", at positions 76 to 839 of the family's 1533-position model. Lineage: Bacteria; Bacillati; Bacillota; Bacilli; Lactobacillales; Lactobacillaceae. The record is from RNAcentral.
UGAUUUACAUUUGAGUGAGUGGCGAACUGGUGAGUAACACGUGGGAAACCUGCCCAGAAGCGGGGGAUAACACCUGGAAACAGAUGCUAAUACCGCAUAACAACUUGGACCGCAUGGUCCGAGCUUGAAAGAUGGCUUCGGCUAUCACUUUUGGAUGGUCCCGCGGCGUAUUAGCUAGAUGGUGGGGUAACGGCUCACCAUGGCAAUGAUACGUAGCCGACCUGAGAGGGUAAUCGGCCACAUUGGGACUGAGACACGGCCCAAACUCCUACGGGAGGCAGCAGUAGGGAAUCUUCCACAAUGGACGAAAGUCUGAUGGAGCAACGCCGCGUGAGUGAAGAAGGGUUUCGGCUCGUAAAACUCUGUUGUUAAAGAAGAACAUAUCUGAGAGUAACUGUUCAGGUAUUGACGGUAUUUAACCAGAAAGCCACGGCUAACUACGUGCCAGCAGCCGCGGUAAUACGUAGGUGGCAAGCGUUGUCCGGAUUUAUUGGGCGUAAAGCGAGCGCAGGCGGUUUUUUAAGUCUGAUGUGAAAGCCUUCGGCUCAACCGAAGAAGUGCAUCGGAAACUGGGAAACUUGAGUGCAGAAGAGGACAGUGGAACUCCAUGUGUAGCGGUGAAAUGCGUAGAUAUAUGGAAGAACACCAGUGGCGAAGGCGGCUGUCUGGUCUGUAACUGACGCUGAGGCUCGAAAGUAUGGGUAGCAAACAGGAUUAGAUACCCUGGUAGUCCAUACCGUAAACGAUGAAUGCUAAGUGUUGGAGGGUUUCCGCCCU